AUGCAAGAUGAAUACUCGGCGUUGAUGCAGAACCAGACGUGGAGCCUCGUCCCUCGCCCUCCUGGAGCCAACAUUGUGACCGGCAAAUGGCUGUUUCGGCACAAGUUCAAAGCUGAUGGCGGACUGGAGCGUUACAAGGCGAGAUGGGUGGUCAGGGGCUUCUCUCAACGACCAGGUGUGGACUUUGACGAGACCUUCUCGCCGGUCGUCAAGGUGGCCACGAUUCGCGCCGUGCUCACCGUGGCGGCCUCCCGCGCAUGGCCCGUCCACCAGAUGGACGUGAACAAUGCGUUCCUCCACGGUCACCUCACCGAGCGUGUGUACUGCCAGCAGCCGGCUGGCUUCGUCGACACGGCCCGCCCCGACCACGCCUGCCUCCUCGACAGAUUGCUCUACGGCCUCAAGCAAGCGCCGCGCGCCUGGUUCGCCAGGUUU
Molecule: ribosomal RNA, 435 nt
Filed under: Triticum aestivum (bread wheat)
Lineage: Eukaryota; Viridiplantae; Streptophyta; Magnoliopsida; Poales; Poaceae
Description: partial small subunit ribosomal RNA
Source: RNAcentral